GUGCCAGCCGCCGCGGUAAUACCGGCAGCACAAGUGAUGGCCAAUCUUAUUGGGCCUAAAGCGUCCGUAGCUGGCUGAGCAGGUCCGUCGGGAAAUCCACGCGCUCAACGCGUGGGCGUCCGGCGGAAACCACUCGGCUUGGGACCGGAAGGCUCGAAGGGUACGUUCGGGGUAGGAGUGAAAUCCCAUAAUCCCGCAAGGACCACCGAUGGCGAAAGCACUUCGAGAAAACGGAUCCGACAGUGAGGGACGAAAGCUGGGAUCUCGAACCGGAUUAGAUACCCCGGUAGUCC
This 293-nucleotide ribosomal RNA is filed under the name uncultured bacterium. RNAcentral's name for it is "partial 16S ribosomal RNA". It matches the Rfam family "Archaeal small subunit ribosomal RNA", at positions 455 to 747 of the family's 1478-position model. The record is from RNAcentral.